Molecule: non-coding RNA, 107 nt
Organism: Nelumbo nucifera (sacred lotus)
Lineage: Eukaryota; Viridiplantae; Streptophyta; Magnoliopsida; Proteales; Nelumbonaceae
Source: Rfam
AGUCCAUGAUGAGGGACCUUCCUUAGUAGUUCUUCGUAACGCUCCCAUGACUCAUAAAAUGACUCUCCGUCCUAUUGAAAGAAGGUGGUGAUAUCAUUCCUCAUCUU